UACAGAUGGUGCAAGCGUUAAUCGGAAUUAAUGGGCGUAAAGCGCGAGUGGGUGGUUUGUUAAGUUUGAUGUGAAAUCCCCGGGCUCAACCUGGGAACUGCAUUCAAAACUGACAAGCUAGAGUAUGGUAGAGGGUGGUGGAAUUUCCUGUGUAGCGGUGAAAUGCGUAGAUAUAGGAAGGAACACCAGUGGCGAAGGCGACCACCUGGACUGAUACUGACACUGAGGUGCGAAAGCGUGGGGAGCAAACAGG
This 253-nucleotide ribosomal RNA is filed under the name uncultured bacterium. RNAcentral describes it as "partial 16S ribosomal RNA". It matches the Rfam family "Bacterial small subunit ribosomal RNA", at positions 524 to 776 of the family's 1533-position model. The record is from RNAcentral.